AUUUUUGUCAUCGAAAGUAGCUUUUUGCUGCCUUGAUGGUGAAGGUUGGUGUUUGUUGGUCGUGUGAGAAUUUAUGUGGUGAAUUUUGGUGUCUAAUGGAGAAUGGGGGUGUCUUGGUGUUUGUUGGUGUUUAUUGGUGUCUAAUGGAGAAUGGUGAUGUCUUGGUGUUUGUUGGUGUUUAUUGGUGUCUAAUGGAGAAUGGUGGUGUCUUGGUGUUUAUUGGUGUCUAAUGGAGAAUGGUGGUGUCUUGGUGUUUCUUGGUGUCUAAUGGAGAAUGGUGGUGUCUUGGUGUUUAUUGGUGUCUAAUGGAGAAUGGUGGUGUCUUGGUGUUUGUUGGCGUUAUUGUAUCUAAUGGAGAAUGGUGGUUCUUGGUGUUUGUUGGUGUCUAAAGAGAAUGGUAGUGUCUUGGUGUUUGUUGGCG
Molecule: long non-coding RNA, 421 nt
Organism: Ictalurus punctatus (channel catfish)
Lineage: Eukaryota; Metazoa; Chordata; Actinopteri; Siluriformes; Ictaluridae
Source: Ensembl